AAUAUUGCACAAUGGGCGGAAGCCUGAUGCAGCAACGCCGCGUGAGGGAUGACGGCCUUCGGGUUGUAAACCUCUUUUAGCAGGGAAGAAGCGAAAGUGACGGUACCUGCCGAAAAAGCACCGGCGAACGACGUGCCAGCCGCCGCGGUAAUACGUAGGGUGCAAGCGUUGUCCGGAAUUAUUGGGUGUAAAGGGCUCGGAGGCGGCUUGUCGCGUCUGCUGUGAAAUCCCGGAGCUCAACUCCGGGCCUGCAGUGGGUACGGGCAGGCUAGAGUGCGGUAGGGGAGAUUGGAGUUCCUGGUGUAGCGGUGGAAUGCGCAGAUAUCAGGAGGAACACCGAUGGCGAAGGCAGAUCUCUGGGCCGCUACUGACGCUGAGGAGCGAAAGCAUGGGGAGCGAAC
This 401-nucleotide ribosomal RNA is filed under the name uncultured bacterium. RNAcentral's name for it is "partial 16S ribosomal RNA". It matches the Rfam family "Bacterial small subunit ribosomal RNA", at positions 360 to 773 of the family's 1533-position model. The record is from RNAcentral.